GACGAACGCUGGCGGCGUGCUUAACACAUGCAAGUCGAACGGAAAGGCCCUGCAUUUGUGGGGUGCUCGAGUGGCGAACGGGUGAGUAACACGUGAGUAACCUGCCCUUGACUUUGGGAUAACUUCAGGUAACUGGGGCUAAUACCGGAUAGGAGCUCCUGCUGCAUGGUGGGGGUUGGAAAGUUUCGGCGGUUGGGGAUGGACUCGCGGCUUAUCAGCUUGUUGGUGGGGUAGUGGCUUACCAAGGCUUUGACGGGUAGCCGGCCUGAGAGGGUGACCGGCCACAGUGUGACUGGGACACGACCCAGACACCUACGGGAGGCAGCAGUGGGGAAUAUUGCACAAUGGGCGGAAGCCUGAUGCAGCAGCGCCGCGUGCGAGAUGAUGGCCUUCGGGUUGUAAUCGGCUUUCGCUUGUGACGCAGCGUAAGUGACGGUAAUGGGUAAAGAAACACCGGCUAACUACGU
Molecule: ribosomal RNA, 467 nt
Filed under: uncultured bacterium
Lineage: Bacteria
Description: partial 16S ribosomal RNA
Rfam family: Bacterial small subunit ribosomal RNA
Source: RNAcentral